UACGGAGGGUGCAAGCGUUAUCCGGAAUCAUUGGGUUUAAAGGGUGCGUAGGCGGCUUUGUAAGUCAGUGGUGAAAUAUGGCAGCUUAACUGUCAGGGUGCCAUUGAUACUGCGGAGCUUGAGUACAGAUGAGGUAGGCGGAAUUGACGGUGUAGCGGUGAAAUGCUUAGAUAUCGUCAAGAACACCUAUAGCGAAGGCAGCUUACUAGGCUGUAACUGACGCUGAGGCACGAAAGUGUGGGGAUCAAACAGG
This 253-nucleotide ribosomal RNA is filed under the name uncultured bacterium. RNAcentral describes it as "partial 16S ribosomal RNA". It matches the Rfam family "Bacterial small subunit ribosomal RNA", at positions 524 to 776 of the family's 1533-position model. The record is from RNAcentral.